AUGCGAGUCGUACGUCUCUUGACUGCAGGAGGCGUGGCGAACGGCUCAGUAACACGUAGCCAACUUAACCUAGAGACGUGGACGACCCCGGGAAACUGGGAUUAAUCCACGAUAGACCAAGGUUCCUGGAAUGGGCUUUGGUCCAAAGGAUGAAUAAGCAUGUUUUGUUCAUCUGCUCUAGGAUGGGGCUGCGGCCGAUCAGGUUGUUGGCGGGGUAAUGGCCCACCAAGCCUAUAACCGGUACGGGCUUUGAGAGAAGGAGCCCGGAGAUGGACACUGAGAAAAGGGUCCAGGCCCUACGGGGCGCAGCAGGCGCGAAACCUUCGCAAUGCGCGAAAGCGUGACGAGGUUACUCCGAGUGCCACUCGCUGAGGGUGGCUUUUCCUAAGUCUAAAAAGCUUGGGGAAUAAGGGGAGGGUAAGUCUGGUGUCAGCCGCCGCGGUAAUACCAGCUCCUCGAGUGGUCGGGACGUUUAUUGGGCCUAAAGCAUCCGUAGCCGGUCUUGUAGGUCUUCUGUUAAACCCAACGGCCCAACCGUUGGACUGCAGGAGAUACCACAGGACUAGGAGGCGGGAGAGGCGGACGGUACUCCAUGGGUAGCGGUAAAAUGUUUUGAUCCAUGGAAGACCACCAGUGGCGAAGGCGGUCCGCCAGAACGCGCUCGACGGUGAGGGAUGAAAGCUGGGGGAGCGAACCGGAUUAGAUACCCGGGUAGUCCCAGCCGUAAACGAUGCGAGCUAGGUGCUGGAAUGGCUAUGUGUCAUCCCAGUGCCGCAGGGAAGCCGUUAAGCUCGCCGCCUGGGGAGUACGGUCGCAAGACUGAAACUUAAAGGAAUUGGCGGGGGAGCACCACAAGGGGUGAAGCCUGCGGUUUAAUUGGGGUCAACGCCGGGAACCUUACCCAGGGAGACAGCAGGAUGAAGGUCAAGUCAAAGACUUUACCAGACAAGCUGAGAGGAGGUGCAUGGCCGUCGCCAGCUCGUGCCGUGAGGCGUCCUGUUAAGUCAGGCAACGAGCGAGACCCUUACUACUAGUUGCUACCUCCAUCCGAAAGGAUUGAGGGGCUAAUUAGUGGGACUGCCGCCGCUAAGGCGGAGGAAGGAAGGGGCCACGGCAGGUCAGUAUGCCCCGAAAACCUGGGGCCACACGUGGGCUGCAAUGGUAGGGACAAUGGGCUCCGACCUCGAAAGGGAGAGGCAAUCCCCAAACCCUACCCCAGUUGUGACUGAGGGCUGCAACCCGCCCUCAUGAAUCUGGAAUCCC
This 1263-nucleotide ribosomal RNA is filed under the name uncultured archaeon. RNAcentral describes it as "bacterial SSU rRNA". It matches the Rfam family "Archaeal small subunit ribosomal RNA", at positions 51 to 1291 of the family's 1478-position model. The record is from RNAcentral.